Molecule: ribosomal RNA, 119 nt
Filed under: Castor canadensis (American beaver)
Lineage: Eukaryota; Metazoa; Chordata; Mammalia; Rodentia; Castoridae
Source: RNAcentral
AGUCUAUACCAUACCACCCUAAAUGCACCUGAUCGCCUCCGAUCUCUGAAGCUAAGCAGAAUCAGCCAGGUUAGUACUUGGAUGGGAGACAAUAUUUACAAAGGAUGUGAUGCAGUGUA